UACAGAGGCCACGAGCGUUAGGCGGAAUCACUGGGCUUAAAGCGUGUGUAGGUGGAUGGGUAAGUACCUUGUGAAAUCCCACGGCUCAACCGUGGAACUGCUUGGUAUACUGCCUGUCUUGAGGCACUCAGGGGCGAGCGGAACAGAUGGUGGAGCGGUGAAAUGCGUAGAUAUCAUCUGGAACGCCAAUGGUGAAGACAGCUCGCUGGGGGUGUACUGACACUGAGACACGAAAGCCAGGGGAGCAACGGG
RNAcentral lists this ribosomal RNA (252 nucleotides) under uncultured bacterium. Its description in RNAcentral is "partial 16S ribosomal RNA". It matches the Rfam family "Bacterial small subunit ribosomal RNA", at positions 524 to 775 of the family's 1533-position model. The record is from RNAcentral.